This is an RNA transcript of Eucalyptus grandis, 833 nucleotides long. RefSeq lists it as uncharacterized. NCBI's taxonomy places the organism in Eukaryota, Viridiplantae, Streptophyta, Magnoliopsida, Myrtales, Myrtaceae. The record is from RefSeq and is a predicted model, not a curated record. The transcript is spliced from 2 exons.
UUAGAUGUCAAUGGUUGCACAGAGCUAGGCAAGUUGCCCAAAAACAUGAAAAGACUCGUCAAUCUUAGAUUUCUAUUUAUAACAACAAAGCAAAAGAGUUUGCAAGAAAGUGGAAUACAAUAUCUGGAAAACUUGCAAUUUUUGGGACUCGAAGCAUGCAAAAAUCUCCAAGUUUUGUUCGAAGGUACUUGCCGACUAACUCACCUUCAAGAAUUGGAAAUUGUAGAUUGUGGGAGACCAAUAUCGGUGCCUUUCGAGGAAUUAACCUCCCUAAAGCGUUUGGUUAUUGAAGGUUCCUCGCUCAUGUUGAUCCCGGAGAAAAAGUCCAGCUUUCCUUCGUGUCUUCGUCUUCUGUCAAUAACAAAUUUCGAGCAAGUUAUGGAGCUGCUUCAGUGUCUCAAUGAAUGUGCCUGCACUUUGGAAUCAUUUUGCGUCUAUGAUUGCCCGAGCUUCAUGGCAAUACCCAAAUGGCUGCCCAAUCAUACACGUCUCAAGGAAAUUCGCUUGAUCCGAUGUCCCAACUUAUCAUCCAUGCCACAAGAAAUCCGAUCCCUCGCUGCCCUCAAAGAAUUACACAUCGAACAUUGUGGUGAAUUGAGCAAGAGAUGUCAACAAACAAUUGGUGAGGACUGGUCCAAAAUUGCUCAUGUUCCUCGAGUCCAACUUGAUCUUAAACGGGUACAAUGGACUGAGUGAUAAACUUCCAUGGUUUAUUUGCCAUGCUACGUGAAUCUCUGGAAUUCGAAUGUGUACUCAGCUAUUCCUUCAUGAAGACAAUGAUUGUUUGAGAUUGUACCUAUUACUUUCUUUCCUUUAAUAAGUGUUGCCCUUUA